Molecule: ribosomal RNA, 78 nt
Filed under: Pseudonocardia ammonioxydans
Lineage: Bacteria; Bacillati; Actinomycetota; Actinomycetes; Pseudonocardiales; Pseudonocardiaceae
Description: 23S rRNA. Bacterial LSU
Source: RNAcentral
UGGGUUGAUAGGCCGGAGAUGGAAGCCCUGUGAGGGGUUGUGAGUUGACCGGUACUAAUAGGCCGAGGGCUUGCCAUG